AGAGUUUGAUCCUGGCUCAGGAUGAACGCUGGCGGCGUGCUUAACACAUGCAAGUCGAACGGAGCUAUUAUGAAGGAGUUUUCGGACAACGGAGUAAUAUGCUUAGUGGCGGACGGGUGAGUAACGCGUGAGUAGCCUGCCUUGGAGUGGGGAAUAACGUUCCGAAAGGGACGCUAAUACCGCAUGAAGCAUCGGGAUCGCAUGGUACUGAUGCCAAAGAUUUAUCGCUCUUAGAUGGACUCGCGUCUGAUUAGCUAGUUGGUGAGGUAGUGGCUCACCAAGGCGACGAUCAGUAGCCGGACUGAGAGGUUGGCCGGCCACAUUGGGACUGAGAUACGGCCCAGACUCCUACGGGAGGCAGCAGUGGGGAAUAUUGGGCAAUGCGGCGCAGCCUGACAGCACGCCGCGUGAGGAAGAAGGCUUUCGGGUUGUAAACUUCUUUUGUCAGGGACGAAGCAAGUGACGGUACCUGACGAAUAAGCCACGGCUAACUACGUGCCAGCAGCCGCGGUAAUACGUAGGUGGCAAGCGUUAUCCGGAUUUACUGGGUGUAAAGGGCGUGUAGGCGGGAAAGCAAGUCAGAUGUGAAAUUCCAGGGCUCAACCCUGGACCUGCAUUUGAAACUGUUUUUCUUGAGUGAUGGAGAGGCAAGCGGAAUUCCGAGUGUAGCGGUGAAAUGCGUAGAUAUUCGGAGGAACACCAGUGGCGAAGGCGGCUUGCUGGACAUUAACUGACGCUGAGGCGCGAAAGCGUGGGGAGCAAACAGGAUUAGAUACCCUGGUAGUCCACGCUGUAAACGAUGGAUACUAGGUGUGGGGGGUCUGACCCCUUCCGUGCCGCAGUUAACACAGUAAGUAUCCCACCUGGGGAGUACGAUCGCAAGGUUGAAACUCAAAGGAAUUGACGGGGGCCCGCACAAGCGGUGGAGUAUGUGGUUUAAUUCGAAGCAACGCGAAGAACCUUACCAGGGCUUGACAUCCUACUAACGAAGCAGAGAUGCAUUAGGUGCCCUUCGGGGAAAGUAGAGACAGGUGGUGCAUGGUUGUCGUCAGCUCGUGUCGUGAGAUGUUGGGUUAAGUCCCGCAACGAGCGCAACCCUUAUUGCUAGUUGCUACGCAAGAGCACUCUAGCGAGACUGCCGUUGACAAAACGGAGGAAGGUGGGGACGACGUCAAAUCAUCAUGCCCCUUAUGUCCUGGGCUACACACGUACUACAAUGGCGGCGAACAGAGGGAAGCAAGACCGCGAGGUGGAGCAAAUCCCUAAAAGCCGUCCCAGUUCGGAUUGCAGGCUGAAACCCGCCUGCAUGAAGUUGGAAUCGCUAGUAAUCGCGGAUCAGCAUGCCGCGGUGAAUACGUUCCCGGGCCUUGUACACACCGCCCGUCACACCAUGAGAGUCGGGAACACCCGAAGUCCGUAGCCUAACCGCAAGGGGGGCGCGGCCGAAGGUGGGUUCGAUAAUUGGGGUGAAGUCGUAACAAGGUAACCGUA
RNAcentral lists this ribosomal RNA (1491 nucleotides) under uncultured bacterium. RNAcentral describes it as "bacterial SSU rRNA". It matches the Rfam family "Bacterial small subunit ribosomal RNA". The record is from RNAcentral.